Long non-coding RNA from Amphimedon queenslandica, 449 nucleotides. RefSeq lists it as uncharacterized. The transcript is spliced from 3 exons. NCBI's taxonomy places the organism in Eukaryota, Metazoa, Porifera, Demospongiae, Haplosclerida, Niphatidae. The record is from RefSeq and is a predicted model, not a curated record.
CAAGAACUGCAUCAAAUAUUUACAAGUUACCAUUACAGUGUGUCGUGGCUCUACUAUUUCUGAUGUUCCUUUUCCCGAAAUUCGAGGAUUCCUUUCACAGCAUUUGUCAAUUGUUAUAACCAAGUUGAGAUAUUCUACCAGUAAAGUAGGCCAUUCAUUUGGUUUCUAUUGUACACUAGAGGAUCAUGCUACAAGUGAUCCUCAUAUAGCCCAGUGCAUAAGUAAUGUACAGAAUCCACACAUAAAGUGUAGUGUCAGUCCUUCUCCAAUGACAGCAUCACUCACUCCAGAGCAAGCCAUCUGGUUCAAAGAUGAUUAUAAUUCUAAAAGAACAACCUUUGAUAUAACACAUCUCUCUAUGGUACUUCAGUUUCUAACUGAUAAUCAUUAUGAUGCUACUGCUUGGCGAAGGUUAGGACUAGCACUGGGAAUCUAUCAACUAACACUUA